GGACACUCGUGUUUGCUGUUGAGCUGAGGCGGGCCAGCCGUGGGAGAUGAGAAAGUAGAAUGUCCUGUGAGUACUCCAUCUGGAAAUUCACAGAAGCCAACAGAAGAGAAGACAAAUUAGUAACCCUGGGAAGACAGAAAGACUGCCUGUAGCAACAUGACUGAAGUAUUUUGGCAUUCUCUUGUUUUUUUUCUUUUAAUAUUUAUUUCGGUGCAGUUGUCACUACUUGCUAGAACAUGAAAUGAUUUGACAGCUCCUUAGGUUUUUUGGUUUGUUUUUUUUAAAAACAUUUGUGUGUGGUUAUUAUAAUUAAACCACAAGGUGAAGCUGUGUGAGAUGAGGAC
Molecule: non-coding RNA, 344 nt
Organism: Sturnus vulgaris (Common starling)
Lineage: Eukaryota; Metazoa; Chordata; Aves; Passeriformes; Sturnidae
Source: RefSeq, a predicted model, not a curated record